Molecule: transfer RNA, 74 nt
Filed under: Poecilia formosa (Amazon molly)
Lineage: Eukaryota; Metazoa; Chordata; Actinopteri; Cyprinodontiformes; Poeciliidae
Rfam family: tRNA
About the family: Transfer RNA (tRNA) molecules are approximately 80 nucleotides in length. Their secondary structure includes four short double-helical elements and three loops (D, anti-codon, and T loops). Further hydrogen bonds mediate the characteristic L-shaped molecular structure. tRNAs have two regions of fundamental functional importance: the anti-codon, which is responsible for specific mRNA codon recognition, and the 3' end, to which the tRNAs corresponding amino acid is attached (by aminoacyl-tRNA synthetases). tRNAs cope with the degeneracy of the genetic code in two manners: having more than one tRNA (with a specific anti-codon) for a particular amino acid; and 'wobble' base-pairing, i.e. permitting non-standard base-pairing at the 3rd anti-codon position.
Source: Rfam by way of RNAcentral
GUUUGGUUAGCUCAGCUGGUCAGAGUGUGGUGCUAAUAAAGCUGAGGUCAUGGGUUCAAGCCCUGUACUGGCCA